GAUGAACGCUGGCGGCGUGCCUAAUACAUGCAAGUCGAGCGAACAGACGAGGAGCUUGCUCCUCUGACGUUAGCGGCGGACGGGUGAGUAACACGUGUAUAACCUACCUAUAAGACUGGGAUAACUUCGGGAAACCGGAGCUAAUACCGGAUAAUAUAUUGAACCGCAUGGUUCAAUAGUGAAAGACGAUUUUGCUGUCACUUAUAGAUGGAUCCUCGCCGCAUUAGCUAGUUGGUAAGGUAACGGCUUACCAAGGCAACGAUGCGUAGCCGACCUGAGAGGGUGAUCGCCCACCCUGGACCUGAGACACGGUCAAGACUCCUACGGGAGGCAGAAGUAGGGAAUCUUCGGAAAUGGGCGAAAGCUUGACGGAGCAACGCCGCGUGAGUGAUGAAGGUCUUCGGAUCGUAAACCUUUGUUAUUAGGGAAGACCAAAUGUGUAAGUAAAUAUGCACGUCUUGACGGUACCUAAUCAGAAAGCCACGGCUAACUACGUG
RNAcentral lists this ribosomal RNA (497 nucleotides) under uncultured bacterium. RNAcentral describes it as "partial 16S ribosomal RNA". It matches the Rfam family "Bacterial small subunit ribosomal RNA", at positions 28 to 507 of the family's 1533-position model. The record is from RNAcentral.